Molecule: ribosomal RNA, 321 nt
Filed under: uncultured Veillonellaceae bacterium
Lineage: Bacteria; Bacillati; Bacillota; Negativicutes; Veillonellales; Veillonellaceae
Description: bacterial SSU rRNA
Rfam family: Bacterial small subunit ribosomal RNA
Source: RNAcentral
ACGCUGGCGGCGUGCCUAACACAUGCAAGUCGAACGGGGAUUUUGUUUCGGCAGAAUCCUAGUGGCGAACGGGUGAGUAACGCGUAGGCAACCUGCCCUCCAGACGGGGACAACAUUCCGAAAGGGGUGCUAAUACCGGAUACGAAGGAGCCAUCGCAUGGUGGAUCUUUGAAAGAUGGCCUCUACAUGUAAGCUAUCGCUGGGGGAUGGGCCUGCGUCCGAUUAGCUGGUUGGUGGGGUAACGGCCCACCAAGGCGACGAUGCGUAGGGGUUCUGAGAGGAAGGUCCCCCACACUGGUACUGAGACACGGACCAGACUCC